This 253-nucleotide ribosomal RNA is filed under the name uncultured bacterium. RNAcentral's name for it is "partial 16S ribosomal RNA". It matches the Rfam family "Bacterial small subunit ribosomal RNA", at positions 524 to 776 of the family's 1533-position model. The record is from RNAcentral.
UACGAAGGGGGCUAGCGUUGUUCGGAAUUACUGGGCGUAAAGCGCGCGCAGGCGGCUAUUCAAGUCAGUGGUGAAAGCCCGGAGCUCAACUCUGGAACUGCCUUUGAAACUGUUUAGCUUGAGGACGAGAGAGGUGAGUGGAAUUCCCAGUGUAGAGGUGAAAUUCGUAGAUAUUGGAAAGAACACCAGUGGCGAAGGCGGCUCACUGGCUCGUAUCUGACGCUCAGGCGCGAUAGCGUGGGGAUCAAACAGG